RNAcentral lists this unclassified non-coding RNA (270 nucleotides) under Hevea brasiliensis (rubber tree). The record is from RNAcentral. Lineage: Eukaryota; Viridiplantae; Streptophyta; Magnoliopsida; Malpighiales; Euphorbiaceae.
AAAAAUAAAAAUAAAAAAGAAGAAUAAGAAAGAAAGCUUUGCAGGCCUGUGUGAUUUGAAGAUCAAAGCACAUAAAGCAAUGUAAAAACUUUUGGAAGCACAGAAAAAAUAACAGGAAUAAGAGUGUAGGGACAACGAGGAGGAGGAAAGAGUUCACUAAACAAAUUCCUCUUCGUUCAUAGUUUGUGUUUGCCCACUAUUUGCUUACUAGUUAUGGUUUUGGUGUAUUUUAGGGCAGGGCCAUGACUCUCUUUGCCAACAAUAUUACAA